This 81-nucleotide microRNA precursor is filed under the name Homo sapiens (human). RNAcentral's name for it is "microRNA miR-21-precursor-17". The stretch from base 5 to 76 matches the Rfam family "mir-21 microRNA precursor family". The record is from RNAcentral. Lineage: Eukaryota; Metazoa; Chordata; Mammalia; Primates; Hominidae.
ACCUUGUCGGGUAGCUUAUCAGACUGAUGUUGACUGUUGAAUCUCAUGGCAACACCAGUCGAUGGGCUGUCUGACAUUUUG